CCUACGGGAGGCAGCAGUGGGGAAUAUUGGACAAUGGGCGAAAGCCUGAUCCAGCAAUGCCGCGUGUGUGAAGAAGGCCUGCGGGUUGUAAAGCACUUUCAGGGGGGGAAAAAGAAGACAGUGUUAAUAGCACUGCGCUUUUGAUACUACCCCCAGAAGAAGCACCGGCUAACUCUGUGCCAGCAGCCGCGGUAAUACAGAGGGUGCAAGCGUUAAUCGGAAUAACUGGGCGUAAAGGGUGCGUAGGUGGCACGCUAAGUCAGAUGUGAAAUCCCCGGGCUUAACCUGGGAACUGCAUUUGAAACUGGCGAGCUAGAGUAGAGUAGAGGAGAGUGGAAUUUCAGGUGUAGCGGUGAAAUGCGUAGAUAUCUGAAGGAACACCAGUGGCGAAGGCGGCUCUCUGGACUCAUACUGACACUGAGGCACGACAGCGUGGGGANCAAACAGGAUUAGAUACCCUGGUAGUCCACGCCGUAAACGAUGAUAACUAGAUGUCAGGUCAUCGCGACGUUGUAGUCGCGAGACGACGAACGUAGUUAAGUUA
Molecule: ribosomal RNA, 544 nt
Filed under: uncultured bacterium
Lineage: Bacteria
Description: bacterial SSU rRNA
Rfam family: Bacterial small subunit ribosomal RNA
Source: RNAcentral